Malania oleifera is the source of this 6663-nucleotide long non-coding RNA. RefSeq lists it as uncharacterized. The record is from RefSeq and is a predicted model, not a curated record. NCBI's taxonomy places the organism in Eukaryota, Viridiplantae, Streptophyta, Magnoliopsida, Santalales, Ximeniaceae. The transcript is spliced from 3 exons.
UUCUCUUUUUCGCUCCGCUCUCUCAUUCUCAAUCUCUCCACUCUUUCACAAUCAAUUUAAUAUAUAAAAAAAAUCAUUUUUUUUCCUUUUCACUCACUCCACUGACAGACCACUCUCUCUCUCAAUCUCUCUACUCUCCCAAUCUCUCCGUUCUCUUCUUCCUCAAUCUCUCUCUUUCUUCUCAUCUCAGCAGGUCUUUCUCACUUUCUCAAACUCACCGCUCUCUCUCUCUCUCCGUCGUUGGGUGCGUCACCACCGCCGCCGUCGAUGCUCCGGAUCCCAGCUCCGACGCCGCAGCCUUCGUCCGAAGUCGUGAUCGUCUUCCGGUAAACGAUAACGGAAAUCUCUUAGCUAGGUUGGAGGAUAAAAAAUCCCCAAAUCGGAAAUUCAAGAUAAGUUCCCUUUUUCUAUUUUUUUUUUAAUCUACUUUGUUUGCAUUUGAUUUGAACAGAUCACUUUGGUCUGUUUUGGUGAGUUUGUGGGGAAUAUGGUGCAAGGCGAUUGAACCUAGGGAUUAUGAGUUGGUUCAGAAUGAGUCAACUCAUUGAGUACUGUUUUUUAUGGUGAGUUGACUCGCCUAACUCAGUGAGUUUUGAUUUAAUUGAUUUUAGAAUAAUGGGCUCCUGUAUUUUUUUUUUUUUUUUUUUAUAUGGGCCAAGACCGGUUAUAUUUUUUUUUUAUGUGGUUUUUAAAAAAUUCGGGCCCAGGGCUUUCCUUUUGAAAAUAAUAAGCUGUUGAAAAGGGGCCCUAUUUAUUUAUUUUUUAUUUGGGCCAGCUUUCCAUCUUAGGCCUUUAGCUUUCAGAAUUUAACCUGGGCCUGGGAUUCUUUUAAUAGUGGACUGGGUCCAGGGACUCAGGUCCAGGUGUACCUGGGCCUUGGGACGGGUCAAGCCAUGCGUCGGAUCUGACUAAUUUGAGAGGGCUAUUGUUUCCAUUUUUUUUUUUGGGAACGAUUAAUGAAUAAAUCACAGAAAAUAAUUAUGAAUAAUUCAAAAAAGGGAGAAUAGUAAUACCUACCUGUUGUCUUCUAACUCUUCGCAGAGAAUACCCUUUUGUAAUGAUACUGCCGUAGGUAGAUUAAUUUGAUUUGCUCUGCUCCGGCUAUGAUGUUUUGAUUUGAUUUGCUUUGCUUUGCUCCGGCUAUGAUUGGAUGCUGCUUCUUUGCUCCCAAUUACUCUGUCUUCUGAGAUUGCCCAGGAUCACUCUAUGACUAUAUUGCUGCUUCAGGUGGCCGAGCUGAUCUCUCUGACUAUAUGGCUACUAUUAUAUCUCUCAGUAUUCUCCCUGGGCGAGCUGCACUGUGUUCUCCGUGCAGGUGUGCUAGCAGACAGGAUUUGGGGGAAGUAUGAGGAUUAUUUAUUUAUUUAUUUAUUGUUUUAGUGCCCAAGAAGGCAGCCAAAUUCCCAGAAACAACAACCCUCCAAUAUUCUUUCGACCACAAGAAGUUCAAGUUUUUUUCCAUUUUAAUUUUAUUAUUUAAUAAAAUAUUAAAUAAUAGUUUGUUUGGGAAAAAAAAUUCCACUCACGUAAUCUCGCAGAUGGUCCUGCGAGAUUUAAAUAGUCAGGGGUACUCGUGUGCUGCGAGAUUUGUAUGGACAUUUGCAUGGCCGUGUUUUUCUACCUCCACACACAUUUAGUUUGUUGCUGGCACAAAUUGGAGAAGAUGAGCUCUCAGAUUUGCAGAUCUGCGGCAAUUUGAUGGCAGAUGUAAGCAUUGGAGAGGUAGGAUCCGAACGUCUCACUGAGCUGGAAAUGGUCAUCUGUCUCCAACGUCGGAGAAGACGGUGGCAGCGGCAACGGCAACGGCAACGGCGACUGAGACGGCCACGUCUAAACUCUGCAACUAAAAACAGAGCAAAAAAAUAAAGUGAUUUCAUCAAUGUAUAUCUCUGGCUCAGGCAUGGAAAUUUGGCAGGGGUAGGGGAGACCAUUGAUCUGCCAAGAAUUAAGAAACAGCUGAGAGUUAGAAAGAGGAAGAAACUGGACUACAUAAUUGGUUUUAAGGAGAUCAAAAUGGAGGCUCAGUAAGGAGGUUGCUAAAUUUCAGAGGAAAAAUCCAUUUACAGCAGCUGAAGAAGUAUCACCUCUGCAAUCAUAUAUUCAGUUUGCUGCACACUUGAUUGAAUGUUUCCAAUAUAGCCUAAAACACUUCCCCUGCAAUUGAAAAGGCUUUGUUAGAUAGAAAUUGAGUACCAUAUUGAGAAUUUUUUUUGCAAAACUGAUUUCAAUGACUAAAAAUAGUUUGGGAGUAGGUUUGUGAAAAAUUUCUAGUUGAAUUCUAGGUGUUCAGAUUUAUGGGAUCAAAACAUAAAAUCAUUUUGGUUGAAUCACAUGAGUCAUUUUGUGAAUACAAUUUGGGCUAGCUGCUGUAAAUGUUAUGGUAUAAUAAUAAUAAUAAUAAUAAUGGAUCUAACAUUUGGUUUGUAGCUGAAAAUUGAUUUUGGGUUUGAAAACUAAUUCAGUGUAAGAUCAUUUUGCGGUCAAAAUCUGUUUAGGGUUUGGAAAUCAAAUCGAGUUUGAAAGCAAAAAAUCAGAAGAAUUAGAAGAGAAAUUUAAAGAAGAAGAAGCAGAAAUUAGAAGAGGAAAAAUUAGAACAAGGAGAAGAGGGCAUACUUGUGCGGGAGAGUAGGCGAUGAUGGUUGCGAGAAUCGCGAUGGUGGCCAUGAUAGGUGAUGGAGCCAGCAGCUGGCGGUGGUGGCCGCGACUAGCCCAGCACGGCCGGCCGUGGCAACCAAAAGAAUAGGUGAUGGCGGCUUUGAAUGUAGGCCACAAUCCUCGCGGCGCCCCCCCCCCCCCCGGGGGGCGCGCAAGAGAGAGAGAGAGACGGACGCUUGUGACGAAGGCAGCUGGCCUUAGGCGGCUUUCAAAGGCGGUGCUGCUGAGAUCAAUGGUCUGCCCUGCCCCUGCCAAAUCUCCAUGCAAUGCAAAUCUCGCAGGAUCAUUUGCAAGAUUUGGCCGCCAAGCAUCACACAUGAAUUCUCUCGCAAUUUGAGUCUCAGCAGGAUGGUCUAGCAAGAUUACCAAAGAACUUUUUUCUAAACAAAGUAUUAUUAAUAUUUUAGUAAAUAAUAAAAUUAAAAUAAGAAAAAACUCCAAGAAGUUCUCCAUGAGCAUGCUCCAAGGGUCAUAGUGACCAUCAAAGCGCGGAAUGUUCGGCUUUACAAAACUUUCGAAAGCCAUCAAUUGAACUUUUUACUCCUCAAAAUCCAGUCUAAUACCACUGUUGCAAACAAAAAUUUGCAAGAUGGAAGACUUUACACAAUAGCAGUAGAGAAAGCAGAGGAUGUAUGUUUUCUGCAGUACUUCAUUAAUCAACAAACAGCCUAUAUAAAGGUUAAUACAUAACUGAUAAUAACAUGAAAAUAGGCACUACCCACCGUUCAAAACAAACUAAUAUGGACUAGGUAAAAAAGAAAAGUUCACUGACCAUCAAACAUGCAAAUUAUGCAAAUUACUAAUUUUCUCAACAAAGAAAUCACGCUUUCAUCUAGGGGCAGAAAGAACAGAUGCUUGUGGUACUGUGAGAGCAUGGUCAUUGGAAACAGGAGGAGUUGGCAUUGCAUGGCUAAACUUGUAUAUGAUGUUUGGAUCUACCUCCAUUACUCCAUCCAAAACCUUCACUACCGUCGACAUAAGAGGCCUUCUUGCAUGAUCGUCCUGUAAACACCAAGCUCCAAUCCUUAUCAUCCUCAAGAUUUCUUCUUUAUGACUUUGCAGUUCUUCAUCCAAAUUCUCCACGAUAUCUAUAAGCUGGUUCUCCUCGACUUUUUUCUGCAGCAGUCCCAAUAAAUGAUUGUCAGAUUCAGACCGAGAUCGAUCCAAAUUUCUUCUUCCACAGACCACCUCAAGGAGAACAAUUCCAAAGCUAUAGACGUCCACUUUCACUGUGAUUCUUAGUUGACACCACUCUGGAGCAAGAUACCCUGGUGUUCCCCUCAUAUUGGUCUGGACUUGGCUCUCACCCCUGUCCAUUAGCCUAGACAACCCAAAAUCAGAUACCUUGGCAUUGAAAUUUUCAUCCAAGAGAAUGUUUUGUGGCUUUAUAUCAAGAUGAGCUAUUCUUUGUCGGCACUCUUCGUGUAGAUAAGCCAGCCCUUUGGCGAUGUCUAGAAUAAUCUUCUUCCUCAUUUGCCAAUCCAAACAUGGUUUCUGGUCAUUGCAGAAAAUCCAGUUAUCCAAUGAACCAUUACACAUGUAUUCAUACACUAAAAGCCUGCAAGACUUCUCUGCACAAAAUCCGAUCAACCGGACAAGAUUAAAAUGGUGUAUGCUUCCUAUCGUCUCAACUUCUGCUAAGAACUCUCUCAUUCCUUGGCCCAUUUCAUCUAAUCGCUUGACUGCAAUCCUUGUGCCAUCUCCUAGCUCUCCUUUGAACACAGACCCAAAUCCUCCGCUACCAAGUUUUUCCUUGAAAUUCUCCGUUGCAAUGCGUAGAUCUUCAUAUGAAAACCUCUUUGGCAUUCCAGGGACUUGCUUGUAAUUGUCCAGCACAUCCCUUUUGUUCCUCUUCUGCAAUGUCCCUAGUAACCUAUUUGCAAGACAAAUAAUGAUAACAACAGCACAAGAAGACCCUGCUAUUAUUGCCACCAAAUUUAUUUUAUUGCCUGAAGGUGGUGAUGGUAGUAAAAUAUCUUGUGCAGGGCUUGGUGCAACAUAAGGAAUCUGUACCUUGAUGAAUGUUGCUGAAGUGAAAUUGUAGUUCGGAAUUUUCCCAUCUCUCAUGGACAAGAUAUCAGAUGGCAUGUAACAAUAUCCAUCUGUUGCAUUCUUCUCAUACUUGAAGAAGGCCCCAAGACAGGAACAGUUCUCAAGGCAUGCUUUUCUGCAGGCUUCUAAAUCUUUGAUCUUGGGAAUUGCAGCAUCCAAAUCAAUGACAUUGAAGUAGGUAGCAUUACGCACUUCAAUGAGACGGUGCUCGUCAAGUGAAGGAUAGCAGGACAAGGGUGUAAUCCUGUGGCAACCCUGAUCAGGCAAUUGAUAUUGAAUCGGCCUGAAAUAUUGAUCACCAUCCAAGCUUUCAGGGCAGCUGCAUUGCUUAUCCCUGCAAAGACCAUAAUUCCCACAUCUGCGAGGGUACUGACAUUCACCUAGGUCCUGUUCAACUAGAUCAACAAUUACCCUCAUUCCAUUUGAAUCCAUGUGCUGAUAUAUCCUUACGUGCCCAUCAAUAUCAAGUUUCAUAUAAAUGAUAGAGUCGAAGGGAAAUUGAAGGACUUUUGGUCCAGACAAAGUUUGAAAUCUUCCUAAGUUCACAAGCAAUCCUCUAAAUGUAAAUUCUGCAUAAUUUGGCUUUUCACUGCCUUUCAAGCUUUUAUUCGGCACUAACUGAUAAUACAUUUGUGAUUGGCCAUGACUGACUUCAGUGAAUGCAGCAAAGCCAAUGAUGGGCAUUAGUGUGGCAUAGUACAGGCCACUGCUCCAGUUGGACCUGGAGGAGCCUGCAUUGAGCUUUUGACCCUCAUAUAAACGCUGUCCAGUGAGCAACGUAUCAGUUGGGUGGUCAAAAGACUGCCAAACAAUGGCUCCCCUUUCAUCAAAGAGAACCAAAUUUCCUGAUUCAGUAAGAUUCAUUCCUUGCACAGACUUUCCCGAUGUAUUCGUUGACCACACCUUGGUGCCAUCGAAAUCUAGUAGUACUAGAUCGCCAUCUCCUGUAAGUUGUAAAGUAGCAUUCUCUUGUAGUCGAUAGUCUCUAUUCGCCGACCAAACUAAAUUGGAGCCACCCCCUUCAGCAACAAUUGAGAAUAAGUAGGAGUUGCAGGGAUCAAUGCAGUAAAAUCCACAAACAAAACCAACAGACUUCCGUCUUGAGAGGAGGCUCACUCUUACCAUUGAGUUGUCAUCAUAAGUCCUAGACAUAUUGAUGAACUCAUUGUUAUACCAUAUUGAUGGAGAGCUGGAAUUAAGGUAGAAUAUUGAGCUAGCCAUUGACACUGAAGUACUUCCAAUGAUUGUAACAGCAGUUUGGGCAAAGCAAACACUCGGAAAAAUGGAGAGAACUGAAAAUAAACUGAUCAUAAAGCAGGUCAUGAUCCCUUUCAGGUCUCCAAUUCUUUCUUGUCUUUCUUCUUCUUCUUCUUCUUCUUUUUUUUUAAGAUUACUUCCUUUGGCUCUGAUUUUUAUCACAAACUGUUGAGGAAUGCCGUACCUUACGGCAGAAAUCAAGGAACCCAAACGUUGAAAAAUGUUGAAUCAAGGAACAAAAACGCGUAAGCUGAAACCAGGUAAAAGUGUUCCCCAGUUCUUUGUAUAAAUAGGAGAUGUACAAUCGAAAUUAGAAAGAAAUAAAAUCUUAUUCUUUCCUGUAUUUAAUUUUUCCUUUUCGCUCCUUUCGCUUCUGCUCCAAUUUUAUCAUGGUAUCAGAGCAGUUCCCACGAAAAUCCCCUUCAAUCUCACGAUCUAAUCCUCCACAGCUUCUGCGAACAGUUUGCAGAGAUUUUUUUUUCUCAUCCACAAAAUUCCGUCGGCGACCAUCACCAUCAACUCCACAGGAUUUGACGCCACCGUCACCACGAACCCUGCCGCAAACCUGGCCUUGCAUACACCUACCGCUGCAGCACCAGGCGGAUUCAUUCACGAUCCCUCGUCCCCAUCGUCACGUAUAAGUUUGGUUACCGUCGGGAUCCAGAUCGUGCAACAGGAAGACGUCGCCGCGCUCUUAUC